RNAcentral lists this ribosomal RNA (195 nucleotides) under Gallionella sp. RNAcentral describes it as "partial 16S ribosomal RNA". It matches the Rfam family "Bacterial small subunit ribosomal RNA", at positions 1 to 207 of the family's 1533-position model. Lineage: Bacteria; Pseudomonadati; Pseudomonadota; Betaproteobacteria; Nitrosomonadales; Gallionellaceae. The record is from RNAcentral.
GAACUGAAGAGUUUGAUCCUGGCUCAGAUUGAACGCUGGCGGCAUGCUUUACACAUGCAAGUCGAACGGCAGCAUGGGUGCUUGCACCUGAUGGCGAGUGGCGAACGGGUGAGUAACAUAUCGGAACAUAUCCGGAAGUGGGGGAUAACGUAGCGAAAGUUACGCUAAUACCGCAUAUGCCCUGAGGGGGAAAGG